UACCAGCACCCCGAGUGGUCGGGACGAUUAUUGGGCCUAAAGCAUCCGUAGCCGGUUCUGCAAGUCCCCCGUUAAAUCCAGCUGCUCAACAGAUGGGCCGCGGAGGAUACUACAGAGCUAGGAGGCAGGAGAGGCAAGCGGUACUCAGUGGGUAGGGGUAAAAUCCGUUGAUCCAUUGAAGACCACCAGUGGCGAAGGCGGCUUGCCAGAAUGCGCUCGACGGUGAGGGAUGAAAGCUGGGGGAGCAAGCCGG
This 253-nucleotide ribosomal RNA is filed under the name uncultured bacterium. RNAcentral describes it as "partial 16S ribosomal RNA". It matches the Rfam family "Archaeal small subunit ribosomal RNA", at positions 474 to 727 of the family's 1478-position model. The record is from RNAcentral.